AUUGAACGCUGGCGGCAUGCCUUACACAUGCAAGUCGAACGGCAGCACGGGUGCUUGCACCUGGUGGCGAGUGGCGAACGGGUGAGUAAUACAUCGGAACGUACCUUAUCAUGGGAUAACGCAGCGAAAGCUGUGCUAAUACCGCAUACGCCCUGAGGGGGAAAGCGGGGGAUCGAAAGACCUCGCGCGAUUCGAGCGGCCGAUGCCUGAUUAGCUUGUUGGUGGGGUAAAAGCCCACCAAGGCGACGAUCAGUAGCUGGUCUGAGAGGACGAUCAGCCACACUGGGACUGAGACACGGCCCAGACUCCUACGGGAGGCAGCAGUGGGGAAUUUUGGACAAUGGGGGCAACCCUGAUCCAGCAAUGCCGCGUGAGUGAAGAAGGCCUUCGGGUUGUAAAGCUCUUUUGUCAGGGAAGAAACACCGGCUCUAACACAGUCCGGGAAUGACGGUACCUGAAGAAUAAGCACCGGCUAACUACGUGCCAGCCGCCGCCGUAA
RNAcentral lists this ribosomal RNA (499 nucleotides) under uncultured bacterium. RNAcentral describes it as "partial 16S ribosomal RNA". It matches the Rfam family "Bacterial small subunit ribosomal RNA", at positions 30 to 523 of the family's 1533-position model. The record is from RNAcentral.